CACGUAUCGUGCAGCUGUUUACAAGCGCAGGAAGAGUCUACUGAUCUAUCAAAAUCACACAUACAUAUCUGGGAAAUUAUUAAUAGAGUUGUUAUCAAAUGGAGCACUUUUCCAUUUCUAUUAAACAGUGUGUUUAAGCGUCAGGCGAGUCAUGCAUCCCCUCAGAGAUGCUGAGCUGGGGGCCUUCAGCUUCUUUGCCUCUCCUCUUCCUCAUGAUGUGUGCGGGAGCAAUGGUCUUCCUCUUACCUCCAACUCAUCAAGAUCCUGGGGCACUUCCAGAUCAUCAAGACCAUCCCCCAUCCCAGACUGUGCCAAUAUGUGGACAUCACCAGAGGGAUAGCAUGUUUGGAGAAGGUGCUACAGAUUGCCUAUGAAGUACUGGAAGGUCUGGACUGCAUGAAUAAACCCCCCUGACCCCCCACAAUGUGCUCCUGGAUCGUGAGGUGUCCAUCUUACCUGCCUCCAAAGGUGAUUGCUCAAGGCUGUUUUUGUUCCAGUGACCCCUCCAUCAUCCCUCUUCCUUCAGGGCCCAAAACAGACGUUGGUCUCUUGGGGUUCUUCUGUUUGAAAUCUGUGUGGUAUGCUCUCAAAGUUUUCAUAAAGUUGCUUCUGACCAAUGAGGACUGUGUUGAAUUUUAUUUUUCAGAAAAUCUGAUUAUGUUCCCCAUAAUACAUAUUUUGUUUUACAUAUAUUGGUAGCAAAAUAUUGUGUGAGGUAAUGAA
Xyrauchen texanus (razorback sucker) is the source of this 723-nucleotide long non-coding RNA. RefSeq lists it as uncharacterized. Lineage: Eukaryota; Metazoa; Chordata; Actinopteri; Cypriniformes; Catostomidae. The record is from RefSeq and is a predicted model, not a curated record. The transcript is spliced from 4 exons.